Molecule: non-coding RNA, 1105 nt
Organism: Coffea arabica (coffee)
Lineage: Eukaryota; Viridiplantae; Streptophyta; Magnoliopsida; Gentianales; Rubiaceae
Source: RefSeq, a predicted model, not a curated record
UGCGAAGGAGUAGGGGAUAUACCAAUUGUUCUUCAUUGUCGGCUCAGGGAGAAAAUGAUUUGCAACUUUGCAUCACUAACUACUUUAAGAAAAACAAGAUGAGUCGACCAAAAGGGAAGUAUCCAAAGCGUAACAAUUUCACUUCAGAACAUGAAAUUGUCUUUGCCGAACAUCUCCUGAGUAUGCAUAGGAAUGGAGAGAUAUCAUCUCAUAACAUCGGGAGUCAUGUCAUCCCCGAGAUUACUCGGAUGCUAAAUGAGAGGUUCGGUACUUCAUUUCCGACAAACACUAUUCGGGGGAAGUACUAUGCCCUUUAGAGCCUGACUAGGCUCUAUAUUUCAUUCAAGAAGCGGGACACUGGAAUGGGUUGGGACUCAACCAACUACACCUUCAUGAUGGGCGAUGAACGGUGGAGCCAGCUAGUUCAGUUUUCAUCGAUCAAGGGGCGACUGGCGCUUUCACAGCCUCCUAUGGAUUAUCACCCCUAAACUCUGCCCACGAGCUGGAAAUGGAGAACGCUGCUAGACAGACUCGGGGAAAGGGGGUUGCAGACAUCAAUUCAUCCGAGGAAGAAGUUCCCUUGGAGCCAAAGACUCGGAAAGGGAAAGAGAAAGUGAAGAAGGGCAAAGGAAAGUGCAAAUCAGGUGACAUGUCGACUGAUACCUUCUUCUCACCUUCCUCCCCUCAAUUCCAGUAGUACGUCCGCGUCCUAGACAGCAUUGAGACACAUUUGAACUGUAAAAAGAGCUCUAGCCUUAGUGGUUCAGUCUCUUCACCUUCGAAGAGUAAAAAUCCUCCCAUGGAUGCCGAUAAGGAGCUAGAAGUUGCAAUGGUUCCCCUCUGCUCUGUUCAUCUAGACAUAAACGUGCACUUGCAGACGGCUGAGCUCCUCCGGUCGAAAGAGGAGCGUAUCAUUUGGUUCUUCUUCACUACAGACGCUGACCGUCUUGCUUUUGUGAGAUAUCGAGGGUUCCUCCCCCCCUAUAGAUGCUCAUAGCAUCCCCGUAUUUUUCAUCUUGGUAGCUUAUUUUUUAUCUUUGUGUCCCCGAACGUUGAGUUAUUAUUGAACUUUUAGUAUUGAGAGACGCAGUUUGAUUUUGGAAAU